Gossypium arboreum is the source of this 536-nucleotide long non-coding RNA. RefSeq lists it as uncharacterized. The transcript is spliced from 2 exons. The record is from RefSeq and is a predicted model, not a curated record. NCBI's taxonomy places the organism in Eukaryota, Viridiplantae, Streptophyta, Magnoliopsida, Malvales, Malvaceae.
UAUCGUGUUAUAUUUAUAGUAAUUCUGACGUGUUACUAGGGGCGGAUGUAAAGUCUUCGGGCUUGACACUUGGUGCCCAGGUGUGUUUCCAGAGGGAUGUUAGCCUACGAGCUAGGCACUUAGUGCCAAGGCGUGUUCUCGGUUGGCUUGGCUUGUAUGAGUUUUUUGGCGUGUUUCGGGUGGAUAGUUGUGCAUCCAUAUCUGUUAUAUCGUUCAUCGGGCAAAUUUCUAGAUAAUGUUUUGUGGAAUCUGCCGGUUGGAUCAACCUGAAGAUCACACUAUCCAGAUAUCUAUCGGUAGAUUUUGACAUGUUUACCUUUGGGUUAUAUGGCAUGUAAUAGGUGUCUUGUAUAUGUUUUGGAUACUUAUUACUUGUGAUGUAUCUUAUACUUGGAUGAUGUUGUGUAAACUUGAUUUUGGCUCACUUGUAUAUAUGUCUUUGGCUUUUGGCUUGUAAAUGUCCAUAUGUAUUUGUUUUAGUCAUUUUGGUUUAAGCUACUUGUGAAUAAAGAAGUUAUGGUAUGAGUAGAUAUGAA